RNAcentral lists this small RNA (28 nucleotides) under Bombyx mori (domestic silkworm). RNAcentral describes it as "ovarian small RNA-783". Lineage: Eukaryota; Metazoa; Arthropoda; Insecta; Lepidoptera; Bombycidae. The record is from RNAcentral.
UUUCGCCUCGUGAGCGAGGGGUGGCCUC